UAAAAAAAAUGGCUUGUAUAAAAAAAAGAAAAGGAAAAGAAAUGAUGUAUAAUCAAAUAAGUCCUGUGUACAUAAAAAUAUAAAAGCACAUAUAUGUGUAUACUUUUGGGUAGAUACAUACAUGAAAAAGUUUGACAUAAUAAGGGUUGUAAAAACAAAACAUACGAACUAUCAAUACGUGCAACAAUUACACUAUAGACAUAAUAUUAACAUACAGUAAAAUGCAAAAAAGAAAAAAAAAAAAAAAAAAAAGUGAUAAAUGUGAUCAUCAUCAUAAGAAUCAGGGAGACGUUGCUUUGUAACUCUUUUCAAAAAAAAAAAAAAAAAACGGUUAUACAUACAAGAGAGUAGAUAAUAGUAAACACAUGUUAUAUAUAUAUAUAUAUAUAUAUAUAUAUAUAUAUAUAUAUAUAUGUUUAUAUGUGUUUAUAUGUGUUUAUAUGUGUUUAUAUGUGUUUAUAUGUGUUUAUAUGUGUUUAUAUGUGUUUAUAUAUGUUUGUAUGUGUUUGUAUGUGCUUAUAUGUGUUUAUAUAUGUUCAUAUAAGUUUAUAUGUGUUUAUAUGUGUUUAUAUAUGUUUGUAUGUGUUUGUGUAUGUGUUUAUAUGUGUUUAUAUAUGUUUGUAUGUGUUUGUAUGUAAGUAUGUGAAUGUAUUUGUAGUGCUCAUAUACAUAUACAAAUGCAUUUAAAAUUUUUUUUUUAUUUUUUUCGUCCUUUUAACAAACUUAA
RNAcentral lists this long non-coding RNA (727 nucleotides) under Piliocolobus tephrosceles (Ugandan red Colobus). Its description in RNAcentral is "lncRNA (ENSPTEG00000014505.1)". Lineage: Eukaryota; Metazoa; Chordata; Mammalia; Primates; Cercopithecidae. The record is from RNAcentral.